This 577-nucleotide ribosomal RNA is filed under the name uncultured bacterium. Its description in RNAcentral is "bacterial SSU rRNA". It matches the Rfam family "Bacterial small subunit ribosomal RNA", at positions 756 to 1300 of the family's 1533-position model. The record is from RNAcentral.
AAAGCUAGGGAGCGAAUGGGAUUAGUAUACCCCAAGUAGUCCUAGCCGUAAACGAUGGAUACUAGGUGUUGUCUGUAUCGACCCGGACAGUGCCGUAGCUAACGCGUUAAGUAUCCCGCCUGGGGAGUACGCACGCAAGUGUGAAACUCAAAGGAAUUGAUGGGGGGCCCCGCACAAGCGGUGGAGUAUGUGGUUUAAUUCGAUGCAACGCGAAGAACCUUACCAGGACUUGACAUGUCGCGAAUCCAGUGGAAACACAGGAGUGCCUUCGGAGCGCGAACACAGGUGGUGGCAUGCGUGUCGUCAGCUCGUGUCGUGAGAUGUUGGUUAAGGUCCGCCAACGAGCGCACCCUCGUGUUUAGUUGCCACUCUAUUAAGUUGGGUCGACUACUAAACAAGACGUGCCGGUCGGACAAACCGGGAAGGGAAGGGUGGGGAGUGACGUCAAGUACAGCACUCGCCCUUACCGUCCGUGGCGUACACACGUACUACAAUAGGGUAGGGACGAGAGGCGACGACCGAACCCGCGGAGGGCGGACGACUAACUACCCGUAACCCUCGCCUCACGUUCAGUACG